Molecule: unclassified non-coding RNA, 164 nt
Filed under: uncultured Helotiales
Lineage: Eukaryota; Fungi; Ascomycota; Leotiomycetes; Helotiales
Description: sequence contains ITS1
Source: RNAcentral
CAGAGAUCAUGCCCCUCGUUGGGUAGACCUCCCACCCUGUGUUAUUUACGAUUGUUGCUUUGGCAGGCCGCCAGCAUGCUGGCGCUCGGCUUCGGCUGAGGUGCGCCUGCCAGAGGACCCAAAACCCUGAUUAUUAGUGUCGUCUGAGUACUAUAUAAUAGUUA